Long non-coding RNA from Rhea pennata, 1287 nucleotides. RefSeq lists it as uncharacterized. Lineage: Eukaryota; Metazoa; Chordata; Aves; Rheiformes; Rheidae. The transcript is spliced from 3 exons. The record is from RefSeq and is a predicted model, not a curated record.
CUCACAUUUUAUUUUUUAAUCUUUGGGGUUUUUUUUUUUUUGCAAAAAUUAUUCCCCUGUGGUUGCUCUUCCUUUCCUGGGCUUCCCCACCCCUCCGGGCAGCGCCCGCUGUUUGGAAACCCUUUAAGAGCAGCGCUGACCACGGGGCCGCACCGGUGCUCGGGCGUCCUCCCAAAACAGGCUCUCCCGCCGGGCGACAGGUAAAUAAGCCGUGCGCGGGAAUGGAGGCGAGCCGCGGGGCGCCCGCCACGGCCCAUCUCCGGCUCUCCGGAUCCUCUUCGGACACGAGCAUCAGGUUUGGCAAGGCUCAUUUUAUUCCUGUCCUCAGCUGUGCCUGUCCCUGUCCUCCUGGGAGUUUGGUUUAUUAAUAUAAUCCCUUUCGGAAUGAGUUGCUCAGCCAGGAGCGUUUGUGCUCAGAUUUAUUUCUGGUGUGUUAAAGUCUCCGGUACAGCGCUGUUGUGGAUUGUGUUUCGUUGUCUGGUGACGCUGCGGCGAGCUUUAGUGCUCCGGUCCUGGGAUGCUGUAGCAAACGCCUUGCCCCAUCCCGCAGAGCUUCUGCUCUGCUCCUUUGCCGAGGUGACGGUGACCCAAACGGAUUUACGUGCUGGCCACGUUAGCCCUUCUUUACACUGGGCCUGGUUUUAGCUGCUGGAUGCCACCACGGUAUGAAUCAUCCUUAUUCAUCACAUGGUGGAUAAAUAGGAUCUGUCUAACGAGCUGCGGCGUGGCCCAUACGAUGAGUCAGAGACGGAGCGAAGGUGCCCAGGAGCUCGGAGGCGAAUGGCUCCAGCGGUUCCGACUGCAGUCAAGGCUGGUGAAGAGAUAAGAGCUCCGCGCCUGCCCCAUACCGCUCACCAGUCCCACAUCAGCAGGGGGCUCCAGGGGAGGGUGUUGCAUCCCCUCCUUGUGUUUUGGAAAACCCUCCCUGCGAGAUGCACCAACCCCUCACGUCAUUUCUUGAGGAUGGCCCAGCCUUGGAUUCGCUGGGAUUUGGGAUGAGGAAUACAGCAGGAGAGACUUUGUCUUCCUCCACCUGUGUUCCCACUAGCAGUGGCAGGGUGGAUGUUCAAACACCUCCCCGCACAGGACCAGCCCUUGGCCAGGGCUUUUUCUGACCCUCAUGGAGCUGAAGGGCUGCAGGGACACACUGGCCCAUGCUCAUCUGCCCAGGGAAAAGCCAAUGCGGGUGCAAGAAACAGCAGUGUCCAAGUCUUCCAGGUCUCUCCUGGGGUGCAUGCAGCAGUCUUUAGCUCCCUCUAACGUUUAUGGCCCGAAUGAAGCAUCUGA